CUAUGCGCCUUGCCCAGCCCGCUCAGAAACUCAAAGGAAUUGACGGGGACCCGCACAAGCAGCGGAGCAUGUGGUUUAAUUCGAAGCAACGCGAAGAACCUUACCAGGGCUUGACAUCCCUCUGACCGGCCGGUAAUGCGGCCUUCCCUUCGGGGCAGAGGUGACAGGUGGUGCAUGGUUGUCGUCAGCUCGUGUCGUGAGAUGUUGGGUUAAGUCCCGCAACGAGCGCAACCCUUGUCAUUAGUUGCUACGAAAGGGCACUCUAAUGGGACUGCCGGUGACAAACCGGAGGAAGGUGGGGAUGACGUCAAGUCCUCAUGGCCCUUAUAGGUGGGGCUACACACGUCAUACAAUGGCUGGUACAGAGGGUUGCCAACCCGCGAGGGGGAGCUAAUCCCAUAAAGCCAGUCGUAGUCCGGAUCGCAGUCUGCAACUCGACUGCGUGAAGUCGGAAUCGCUAGUAAUCGCGGAUCAGAAUGUCACGGUGAAUACGUUCCCGGGCCUU
RNAcentral lists this ribosomal RNA (505 nucleotides) under uncultured Diaphorobacter sp. RNAcentral's name for it is "bacterial SSU rRNA". It matches the Rfam family "Bacterial small subunit ribosomal RNA", at positions 903 to 1382 of the family's 1533-position model. Lineage: Bacteria; Pseudomonadati; Pseudomonadota; Betaproteobacteria; Burkholderiales; Comamonadaceae. The record is from RNAcentral.